UCUCAGUGAUGUGGUUCCUACAGAUCCUUCUGACCCUGCACUUGGGCUCAGUAGCGGGGAGUGAGGUGGACCGUGCCUGAGACA
Small nucleolar RNA from Fukomys damarensis (Damara mole-rat), 84 nucleotides. Lineage: Eukaryota; Metazoa; Chordata; Mammalia; Rodentia; Bathyergidae. The record is from Ensembl.